This 213-nucleotide long non-coding RNA is filed under the name Mytilus galloprovincialis (Mediterranean mussel). Lineage: Eukaryota; Metazoa; Mollusca; Bivalvia; Mytilida; Mytilidae. The record is from RNAcentral.
GGGACGUGUAUCAUAGGAAAUAAAUAUACGCGGACAUCAUUACUAUGCAGUUUAAACACAAGAUGUAAUUGAUACACAGGUAAUUCAAAUCUUAAAAUCACUUUUGUGUUUUGAUACGAUACCCACAUUUAAAGUCUAAUUUGUCAACCUCAGCGUCGAGUAUAUACCAUUUCGUAAAAUGUCUAAUAACAUGAACAAUUUAAAACAAAUUAG